AAAAGGACUGGUUCUUUUCUGAAAUAGGAAGCAACAAGUUAAUAGAGGGGAUGACAUGGAGGCUUUGAAGACCGUGCCUGCCAUUCAUGGGGAAGUUGGACACUGACAGCUUUGGGGAUGAUGCAAUGAUGGAAUCACCCACGUGUGGAGCAGACAGGGCGUGGCUUAUAUGUGGAGGGAAAUCUUUCCAGAGUGGGCUCCUCAGGGCUGGGGAGCUAAGAGAAGAUGGGGUGAGCAGAGAAAGUUGGAUAGUCAGUCACCCAAGGCAGAACCUGAGGUUUCUGCACAUCAUUUUGACAGUGAUCACGUGGAAGAAGCCUCAGAUGCCCUUGGUCCGGAGGAAGUACGCACGAGCUCUGCAACCAGGAAAGCAGCCUCUGUGUCCCCAAGAAGGUGACAUGGGAUGGAAGGUCUGGCCCAGUUAAGCACUAACUUCAAAAAGAUCGUGCCUGUCAGUUCUGAGACUCAUUUUGAAUAGUGGUCAUGACCUCUCUUCUGUUCUGAGGUUUAUGUCCAAUAAAGCUGUGUGUGUGUGUGUGUGUGUGUGUGUGUGUGUGUGUGUGUGUGUUUGCGUGCACUUGCAGGGGGCUUCCCCUUAUGAAAGGAUUCGAGAACCAACCACCUACGUCAAGAUAAGCCAGCCCAGGGUGAGGUCUCACUGCCGCACUGGUACACACUUUCUAGGAUGAUGCAGCGUUCCAGUUUGCACUUUAAAGUUCUCCAUUGGUUGAAGGAGUUUCCAGGGUCUUCAAAGUGCUGUCAGUUCCCUCAAGGGAAUCUGCCGAGAGACGGCUUAAAGGCCAUGGGUGUAAUGGGUUUUGACAUCUUUCUGUGUUCCUCCUGUGGAACUCCAUAUGGUUAUAGAUUCUUUUUAAAGCAUUUUCCUUUUGAACUCAGCAACCGGAUCCUAGAGAUUAUAUGAAGGAAAAAAAAGAUGGGAACAUGUAAUAAAAAAGAAAGAGCAAAGUGGUCGAUCUGGCAUUAUCAAAUAUUAUGAUAUACAGCCACGGCCAUAAUAAGAAGUUAAUAUUAUGUGGGAUUAGCUGGUGCACGCAGUGUGAGCCAAGGAACACACCUCACGUGACACAGUAGGGGGAUAAGUGGCAGUCAGCAUUUCAACAUGGGGAAGGAAGACACCUUCAUAGACAUAACUGGAAAAGAGGAUUUAGAUGCAAAGCUCACUUCAUCUAUUAAAAUUACAGAUGGGUUUAUUUAGAGAAAAAAAAGCAACACAGAAAAAAUCUGGUGAAAGCAGACUCUAGUCUUAAUAGAUCUACAGAGAAAUAAUACACUUCUUCUGACCUACAAAAUAAAAAAGCAUAGCAAAAAAGCACUACAAAGCUGACAACAUAGAGCAAGUUAAAACUUCUGUGCAGCAAUAAUGACAAAAUUAAUGUCGAAAUAGGUGCAACGGAUUGGGAAGCAUUUAUGUAAGUGUGAAUAAAGAUGAAUACUAUAAUAUUUAGAAAGCCCAUUAUAGUUUAUAAUAGAUUCAUAAGGGAUUUCAGUAGCCAGUGUACACAAUAAAAAUGAAAAUGGUGGACACAUGCAUAGUCUUAAAUUUUUUUUUGAUGUUUAUUUAUUUUUGAGAGAAAGAGAAACAGAGGGCGAGG
Molecule: long non-coding RNA, 1613 nt
Organism: Suricata suricatta (meerkat)
Lineage: Eukaryota; Metazoa; Chordata; Mammalia; Carnivora; Herpestidae
Source: Ensembl